Molecule: ribosomal RNA, 416 nt
Filed under: uncultured prokaryote
Also listed under: 1 other name
Description: bacterial SSU rRNA
Rfam family: Bacterial small subunit ribosomal RNA
Source: RNAcentral
UAGGGAAUUUUGCGCAAUGGACGAAAGUCUGACGCAGCAACGCCGCGUGAAGGAUGAAGGCCCUCGGGUUGUAAACUUCUGUUGGAUGGGAAAAAAAGCCGCAAGGUCUUGAUGGUACCAUUCGAGUAAGCACCGGCUAACUACGUGCCAGCAGCCGCGGUAAUACGUAGGGUGCAAGCGUUGUUCGGAAUCACUGGGCGUAAAGAGAGCGUAGGCGGGAUUGUAAGUUAGGAGUUUAAUGCAUGGGCUUAACCCAUGAUCUGCUUUUAAUACUGCAGUUCUUGAGUAUGGGAGAGGGUGAUGGAAUUCCAGGUGUAGCGGUGGAAUGCGUAGAUAUCUGGAAGAACACCAGUAGCGAAGGCGGUCGCCUGGCCCAAUACUGACGCUGAGGCUCGAAAGCUAGGGGAGCAAACAGG